GGACAUUCUGUACCUGGACAAGUUGUCCAUCAUGUGUAGUAUCCUUUCUUUCCUCAUUUCCAAUUCUUUGGUUCUCUAGCUUGACUUUGGUUCUCCUCAAAUGUCACUUUCUACAUGAGGUCUUUUCUGAUCCCUCUCUUCCUUCCCUCUGUAUUUGGUAUAAGUAGAUUUUUACAUUUUUUGUCUGUGAAUAUAUUGUUAUUCCUCAGUGGAAUGUAGGCUUCUUGCAUUCCCAGAGCCUACCACAGCACCUGGAAGAGUAGGGGGCUUAGUAAUUGUUUGUUGAAUUAGUUUGAAUUAAAUUGAAGGAAAACUCGAGAUCACUGAAAGCUUCCCACAAGUUCCCUAGUAUAUUCCAAUCCUCAUUCUUCUUUCUAUUCAAUCCUGAGGCUAAUUCUGGUCCAUCUGCUGAGACUGUCCAAUAGAGAAGGUCUGAGAGACUAACUUAACUGACAGAUCAUUUGACAGAAUCUCAGAAUCUGGGCAAUGUGUAUUCUUGAUCAACUUUAAAAAUUCUGUGGGCUAUUAGACUGAUCUUUGGUGACCAUGUAUCUCAUUGAAGAGGUCAUGAAGUAUUCUGGGAUUUGAUGUAAUCAGUACAGUGAAAGAGUUGAUACCAAAAAAGCAAAAGAUCAAAGAUUUAUGUCUUGAGAAUCUCUUCUACUUAAAUCCCAUAGAGUACAUUCUCUACGACAAUGGCAAAUAUCCCUGACAGCUUGUUCGCCUAUGUAAAAUGAAGACUAACUACAUGUUCUCCGAGGUCCCUUCCAGAUCCUAUGCACAAAGCAUAAAGAUAAGUUAACAGAUGGGAAGCAAAGCAGAAUUUUGAAAUCUCCCUGCUGUUGUUAUAGUCAUCUCACCCUGGAGUACAGAGGAGGAGGAAGGAGUAUGUCUGAGCUCAGAAGUUCCUUUGAAAAAGAGGUGAGUAUAUUUGUGUGUGAAAGGGGUGGGGAAAGCAGGGACAGUCAGAAUAAUGAAUGAGCAGUGACUUCUGAGAACAAGGCCUGCUUUCAGCUAUCUCCCUCCUCCUCCAAUCCUAUCUCUACUCCUCAGAUAGCUCUGAUGGUCAGGCAGUAAUUGUAGAUACAAUCCAUUUCCAGGCAGAUUUGUGAGUUUCUAGUGUGGUUAAUAUUUUCACUCUUGUAUUCAAG
This 1151-nucleotide long non-coding RNA is filed under the name Monodelphis domestica (gray short-tailed opossum). Its description in RNAcentral is "lncRNA (ENSMODG00000031363.2)". Lineage: Eukaryota; Metazoa; Chordata; Mammalia; Didelphimorphia; Didelphidae. The record is from RNAcentral.